Molecule: ribosomal RNA, 568 nt
Filed under: uncultured bacterium
Lineage: Bacteria
Description: partial 16S ribosomal RNA
Rfam family: Bacterial small subunit ribosomal RNA
Source: RNAcentral
UGGGGAAUAUUGGACAAUGGGCGCAAGCCUGAUCCAGCAAUGCCGCGUGUGUGAAGAAGGCCUUCGGGUUGUAAAGCACUUUUAUCAGGAGCGAAACGCUGUCGGCUAAUACCCGGCGGAACUGACGGUACCUGAGGAAUAAGCACCGGCUAACUUCGUGCCAGCAGCCGCGGUAAUACGAAGGGUGCAAGCGUUAAUCGGAAUUACUGGGCGUAAAGCGUGCGUAGGCGGUUUCUUAAGUCUGCUGUGAAAUCCCCGGGCUCAACCUGGGAAUGGCAGUGGAUACUGGGAGGCUAGAGUGUGUCAGAGGGUGGUGGAAUUCCCGGUGUAGCGGUGAAAUGCGUAGAGAUCGGGAGGAACAUCAGUGGCGAAGGCGGCCACCUGGGACAACACUGACGCUGAGGCACGAAAGCGUGGGGAGCAAACAGGAUUAGAUACCCUGGUAGUCCACGCCCUAAACGAUGCGAACUGGAUGUUGGUCUCAACUCGGAGAUCGGUGUCGAAGCUAACGCGUUAAGUUCGCCGCCUGGGGAGUACGGUCGCAAGACUGAAACUUAAAUGAAUUGAC